Molecule: ribosomal RNA, 109 nt
Filed under: Prolemur simus (greater bamboo lemur)
Lineage: Eukaryota; Metazoa; Chordata; Mammalia; Primates; Lemuridae
Source: RNAcentral
AUCUAAGGCCAUAUCACCCUGAAGGCGCCUGAUCUCGGAAGCUAAGCAGGGUCGGGCCCGGUUAGUACUUAGAUGGGAGAAAAUUAAGAUGAAUACAGUCCACCAGAUU